Molecule: ribosomal RNA, 519 nt
Filed under: uncultured bacterium
Lineage: Bacteria
Description: bacterial SSU rRNA
Rfam family: Bacterial small subunit ribosomal RNA
Source: RNAcentral
CCUACGGGAGGCAGCAGUAGGGAAUAUUGCGCAAUGGACGAAAGUCUGACGCAGCCACGCCGCGUGAGUGAGGAAGGCCUUCGGGUUGUAAAGCUCUGUCAGCUGGGAAAAACAGGCAAGAGGGGAAAGUUCUCUUGCUUUGAUGGUACCAGCGAAGGAAGCACCGGCAAACUCUGUGCCAGCAGCCGCGGUAAUACAGAGGGUGCAAGCGUUGUUCGGAAUUACUGGGCGUAAAGCGUGCGUAGUCGGUAUUGAGAGUCGCGGGUGAAAUCCCAGGGCUUAACCCUGGAACUGCCUGCGAGACCUCAGUACUAGAGUGUGAGAGGGGAUAGUGGAAUACCCAGUGUAGCGGUGAAAUGCGUAGAGAUUGGGUGGAACACCGGUGGCGAAGGCGGCUAUCUGGCUCACAACUGACGAUCAGGCACGAAAGCANGGAGACAACAGAUAGUAUACCUACGUAGUCAUGCGUAACUAUGCAUACAGACUGUAGUGGGUUUUCGUUCCGUCGUCGUGUGGCGA